RNAcentral lists this ribosomal RNA (440 nucleotides) under uncultured bacterium. RNAcentral describes it as "partial 16S ribosomal RNA". It matches the Rfam family "Bacterial small subunit ribosomal RNA", at positions 338 to 795 of the family's 1533-position model. The record is from RNAcentral.
CCUACGGGUGGCAGCAGUGGGGAAUAUUGCACAAUGGGGGAAACCCUGAUGCAGCGACGCCGCGUGAGCGAUGAAGUAUUUCGGUAUGUAAAGCUCUAUCAGCAGGGAAGAAAAUGACGGUACCUGACUAAUAAGCCCCGGCUAACUACGUGCCAGCAGCCGCGGUAAUACGUAGGGGGCAAGCGUUAUCCGGAUUUAAUGGGUUUAAAGUGAGCGUAGACGGUCCUGCAAGUCAGAUGGGAAAGCCCGGGGCUCAACCCCGGGAUUGCAGUUGGAACUGUAAGGCUAGAGUGUCGGAGAGGCAGGCGGAAGUCCUAGUGUAGCGGUGAAAUGCGUAGAUAUUAGGAGGAACACCAGUGGCGAAGGCGGCUUGCUGGACGAUGACUGACGUUGAGGCUCGAAAGCGUGGGGAGCAAACAGGAUUAGAUACCCCUGUAGUC